Molecule: ribosomal RNA, 492 nt
Filed under: uncultured bacterium
Lineage: Bacteria
Description: partial 16S ribosomal RNA
Rfam family: Bacterial small subunit ribosomal RNA
Source: RNAcentral
AGUGAACGCUGGCGGCAGGCCUUACACAUGCAAGUCGAACGGCAGCACAGUAGCUGGUUGCUCUUACCGGUGGCGAGACGGGGACGGGUUAGAUAGACACCGGUACCUACUUUUUCGUGGGGGCUGACGAAGCGAAAUUUACGCCACUAACGCAUUCGACAUUCAAGUGAAAGACGUGGAGCUCCGGACCUUGCGCGAUCGACUGUGCCGAUGUCGGAUUAGCUAGUUGGCGGGGUAAAGGCCUACCAAGGCGACGAUCCGUAGCUGGUCUGAGAGGACGAUCAGCCACACUGGGACUGAGACACGGCCCAGACUCCUACGGGAGGCAGCAGUGGGGAAUAUUGGACAAUGGGCGCAAGCCUGAUCCAGCAAUGCCGCGUGUGUGAAGAAGGCCUUCGGGUUGUAAAGCCCUUUUGUCGGGAAAGAAAAGCUGCGGCCUAAUACCGUCGUGUGCUGACGGUACCCGAAGAAUAAGCACCGGCUAACUUCGUG